GAUAGAGGGUGCAAACGUUGUUCGGAAUUACUGGGCGUAAAGCGCGUGUAGGCGGCUAUGUAAGUCGGGCGUGAAGUCCCACGGCUCAACCGUGGAAGUGCACCCGAAACUGCGUAGCUAGAGUCCUGGAGAGGAAGGUGGAAUGCUUGGUGUAGAGGUGAAAUUCGUAGAUAUCAAGCAGAACACCUGCGGCGAAGGCGGCCUUCUGGACGAUGACUGACGCUGAGACGCGAAAGCGUGGGGAGCAAACAGG
RNAcentral lists this ribosomal RNA (253 nucleotides) under uncultured bacterium. RNAcentral describes it as "partial 16S ribosomal RNA". It matches the Rfam family "Bacterial small subunit ribosomal RNA", at positions 524 to 776 of the family's 1533-position model. The record is from RNAcentral.